RNAcentral lists this ribosomal RNA (468 nucleotides) under uncultured bacterium. RNAcentral describes it as "partial 16S ribosomal RNA". It matches the Rfam family "Bacterial small subunit ribosomal RNA", at positions 28 to 507 of the family's 1533-position model. The record is from RNAcentral.
GACGAACGCUGGCGGCGUGCUUAACACAUGCAAGUCGAACGGAAAGGCCCUGCUUUUGUGGGGUGCUCGAGUGGCGAACGGGUGAGUAACACGUGAGUAACCUGCCCUUGACUUUGGGAUAACUUCAGGAAACUGGGGCUAAUACCGGAUAGGAGCUCCUGCUGCAUGGUGGGGGUUGGAAAGUUUCGGCGGUUGGGGAUGGACUCGCGGCUUAUCAGCUUGUUGGUGGGGUAGUGGCUUACCAAGGCUUUGACGGGUAGCCGGCCUGAGAGGGUGACCGGGGACAUUGGGGCUGAGGGAGGGCCCAGACGGCUACGGGGGGCAGCAGUGGGGAAUAUUGCACAGUGGGCGGAAGCCUGAUGCAGCAGCGCCGCGUGCGGGAUGACGGCCUUCGGGGUGUAAACCGCUUUCGCCUGUGACGAAGCGUGAGUGACGGUAAUGGGUAAAGAAGCACCGGCUAACUACGUG